This 2349-nucleotide ribosomal RNA is filed under the name Triticum aestivum (bread wheat). Its description in RNAcentral is "partial small subunit ribosomal RNA". The record is from RNAcentral. Lineage: Eukaryota; Viridiplantae; Streptophyta; Magnoliopsida; Poales; Poaceae.
GGUUGUUCCUUGCACGUUCUUCUAGGUCAGGCCUCUCCGGUGUCACGAGACAAGGACGUGCCCUGUCGCGCCAGCGGCGGUCGCAGCGGAAAAGAAGAGGCGCCGUGACAGGCGGCGCCUGGGAGCAGGAGGUCUUAAGGGUCCCCAUCGUUCCUCUCCCAGUCUCCGCCUCGUCGGCGUCGCCGGUCGCCGGUGGCCGCCUCUGCGCCGCUGCGCUCCGUUCUUCACUACCUCAUGGCGUUGUUCUACCACGAGCGCGGGUACCAGGCGCGCCCAUGAGACGGCAAAUCCGAUAACCGACGACUUAUACCGCGCCUAUAAUGCAUGCCUCUUCUUUAUUAUCUAGUGUUCAAACACUUGACAGUUGCGCAAUAUUUACUUAGAGAACCCUGUUGACUAAAACACCUCUCUCCCUGACUAUCACAACAAAAGGCUUGUACGGGCGUUCUUUCCCUGUUCCAACAGAAAGUUUAGCCGUGUAGUCUACGACAGUCUCGUGAAUUUCGACGACUCGAACACACAUUACUAUAACGACGAUAUCUAUAGUUGUACCCAACAGGUUUCCGAAAAAGACAGUCACCUCCUUACCCAAGACGUAAUGAGAGGUUUGGACUCGAAUAUGUACUAUAAAACUGAUGUAACGCCUCCUUGAACUUGUGUGGUCACUGUACAUUUUAGGCAGAUGACUUGUGUGCAGUCCUGUGACACCUCAACCGUGCGGCCUAACUCUUUACACCACAAGGUCGAGACCGACAGGUACCUUCUUUCCAGUUUCUGUCCGGUUCCCUAGGCCGAUUCACCCUACUCUAACGACUACAACAUAGGCGUGACAGUUAAGGUCAAUAUCGAUUACCCUUACAUAAACUCAUGCUUCUAAAAUUCUCUUAGUUUCUACGAUGUCCACGGUGUAGACAUUACCGACGAUCUCCACGGAACACCUUACGGAGGUAAAAGAGACGAUUUCCGUUUCAUGGAACCCUCCUAAAGUUUUCUCUCAUACACUCUUUCUGAUAAAACACCCUGUUGCUAUAAUUCUCGUGUUUCUGUUGCGAUUCUCUUUAGUAUUACGUGAUGUAAACGGAACUUCCCUGACUUCCCUUUCCACACUAUUUCACACCAAGCAGUCGUCUACAUCGCUCUGAAAUACCCCUUCUCCUAAUGAUAUUAAAACAACAAAGUUUAUCCUUUACUUGUUUUGUCCUAAAACGAUUGGAGAUAUACUGGGUCGAAGACGAACCUAGGGAGGCAACCAAAAUACUUACAAAAAAGGCCUCUAGAAACGUACUCAAAACCUCUUUAAGUGUAUAGUGGUUUCUCACGUCAAAACCGAAAACGUGACACGGUAGAACCAUAAACUAGUUCUAGUUGACUCCUAAGUGCCUAAGGAAUAAAGCACCCCAUGUCAAAACACGGCACAAGAAUAUCCUAAAAAAAAAACUGUUUUUUCCGGCAACUAAAUCUGACUGUUCUUAGAUCUUCGUAAAACUCUAUGACAUAAGAAAGGUAAUGACUGUUUUAUAUAUUAGGUACUGAACGACUAUCUGUGGUAAAGACAUUCGAAUGUAUAUAAAAUCAAUAAGACGGUUUAGACCUAGCGGCUUUCCGACACAGUACAUAAUAACUACCUUUAGUACAAUAAACCGUUCAAGUUCUGGAAUAACACAAGGAACUGUGAACCUAAUAUAGGUUAACAGAUAGUCCCAGGUUUACGAAACCUCAACAAACUAAUUUUUAUCCUAAAACACUAUUAAAAUUAGGAAUCUUUGCUGGCAACACAUCCUAAACAAUAACGCAUCUCAAAUGUUGUAAACCGAAGCCGGAACCAAAACAAGGAACUGAAGUAGGGUACGUAUACUACGAAAAGUUAGACCAACGAGACUGUCCGUACUUUGACGGAGGACAUAAUACCUAAGACCUUCGUGUUUCAGACGUAGUGGGCACUGUAGUCUCUGGUAUCUACUAGUGUACGAUAAAGAAGACCUUCCUGAACAACUAUAUAUACGAUGAAAUAGUAUUUAUAGAGUGAGUCUAUUAACAACGUCGCCUGGUUAAUAAAAGGGACCAACGGCAGAAGAUCUACGGGUCUCGUUACAAAAAGAAGAAGAAACCCCAUUAAGUUUGGUUAAAAUGACUCGUUAUAAAGUUUUCUGUAUUGAAAGACACAACGCUUUCUCUCAUUUGGUAUAAAUGUAGUCUUUCUACAAGCUACCUAGACAUUUUUAUACAAGUUGUGCGAACCUUGAACACAGUCCAAGACCUAGAACACCGUACCCACUAAGCCUUGCAGUCGGCAGUCCUAGAGAUGACGAGGAUCGUAUUUACUUUAUAAGCCUAAACCUCUCCUAGUCG